RNAcentral lists this ribosomal RNA (460 nucleotides) under uncultured bacterium. Its description in RNAcentral is "partial 16S ribosomal RNA". It matches the Rfam family "Bacterial small subunit ribosomal RNA", at positions 338 to 795 of the family's 1533-position model. The record is from RNAcentral.
CCUACGGGAGGCAGCAGUGAGGAAUAUUGGUCAAUGGACGAGAGUCUGAACCAGCCAAGUAGCGUGAAGGAUGACUGCCCUAUGGGUUGUAAACUUCUUUUAUAUGGGAAUAAAAUGUUCCACGUGUGGGAUUUUGUAUGUACCAUAUGAAUAAGGAUCGGCUAACUCCGUGCCAGCAGCCGCGGUAAUACGGAGGAUCCGAGCGUUAUCCGGAUUUAUUGGGUUUAAAGGGAGCAUAGGUGGAUUGUUAAGUCAGUUGUGAAAGUUUGCGGCUCAACCGUAAAAUUGCAGUUGAAACUGGCAGUCUUGAGUACAGUAGAGGUGGGCGGAAUUCGUGGUGUAGCGGUGAAAUGCUUAGAUAUCACGAAGAACUCCGAUUGCGAAGGCAGUUCACUGGACUGCAACUGACACUGAGGCUCGAAAGUGUGGGUAUCAAACAGGAUUAGAUACCCCUGUAGUC